GGAAGUAAAAGUCGAACAAGGUCUCCGUAGGUGAACCUGCGGAGGGAUCAUUACAGAGUUCAUGCCCUACCGGGUAGAUCUCCCACCCUAUGUUAUCAUUACUUUGUUGCUUUGGCGGGCCGUUAGGCUCCGGCCCGACUACCGGCCCCGGCUGGUAAGCGCCCGCCAGAGGACCCAAAACCCUGAAUAUUAGUGUCGUCUGAGUACUAUAUAAUAGUUAAAACUUUCAACAACGGAUCUCUUGGUUCUG
This 250-nucleotide unclassified non-coding RNA is filed under the name plant metagenome. RNAcentral describes it as "partial contains small subunit ribosomal RNA, internal transcribed spacer 1, and 5.8S ribosomal RNA". The stretch from base 1 to 53 matches the Rfam family "Eukaryotic small subunit ribosomal RNA", at positions 1778 to 1831 of the family's 1831-position model. The record is from RNAcentral.